Molecule: ribosomal RNA, 631 nt
Filed under: Leptodactylus pentadactylus (smoky jungle frog)
Lineage: Eukaryota; Metazoa; Chordata; Amphibia; Anura; Leptodactylidae
Description: partial large subunit ribosomal RNA
Rfam family: Bacterial large subunit ribosomal RNA
Source: RNAcentral
GGUCGACCACGCCGCCUGUUUAUCAAAACAUCGCCUCUUGCAUGCCUAUAAGAGGUCCAGCCUGCCCAGUGACUCUGUUCAACGGCCGCGGUAUCCUAACCGUGCGAAGGUAGCGUAAUCACUUGUUCUUUAAAUGAGGACUAGUAUGAAUGGCACCACGAAGGCUAUACUGUCUCCUCUCUCUAAUCAGUGAAACUAAUCUCCCCGUGAAGAAACGGGGAUAAUUAUAUAAGACGAGAAGACCCUAUGGAGCUUUAAACUAAGAACAACUGCUUUCUUGCCCUUGAAAUCCCAGGAAAUUAACUUUUAUUUAAGCACUCUGGUUUCUAGUUUUAGGUUGGGGUGACCACGGGUAAAACCAACCUCCGCAGUGAACAGGGAUCUUCCCUAAGCCAAGGGCCACAAUCCUAAGAAUCAAUAUAUUGACAUCAAUUGACCCAAAAAUUUGAUCAAUGAACCAAGUUACCCUAGGGAUAACAGCGCAAUCCACUUCAAGAGCUCCUAUCGACAAGUGGGUUUACGACCUCGAUGUUGGAUCAGGGUGUCCCAGUGGUGCAGCCGCUACUAACGGUUCGUUUGUUCAACGAUUAAAACCCUACGUGAUCUGAGUUCAGACCGGGCGUGGUCGACC